This 63-nucleotide transfer RNA is filed under the name bovine gut metagenome. It matches the Rfam family "tRNA", at positions 6 to 65 of the family's 71-position model. From Rfam's summary of the family: Transfer RNA (tRNA) molecules are approximately 80 nucleotides in length. Their secondary structure includes four short double-helical elements and three loops (D, anti-codon, and T loops). The record is from RNAcentral.
GUAGUAGCCAAGCGGUAAGGCAUCUGAUUCUGAAUCAGAUAUGCAUUGGUUCGAAUCCAAUCU